GAUGAACGCUGGCGGCGUGCCUAAUACAUGCAAGUCGAGCGAACGGACGAGAAGCUUGCUUCUCUGAUGUUAGCGGCGGACGGGUGAGUAACACGUGGAUAACCUACCUAUAAGACUGGGAUAACUUCGGGAAACCGGAGCUAAUACCGGAUAAUAUUUUGAACCGCAUGGUUCAAAAGUGAAAGACGGUCUUGCUGUCACUUAUAGAUGGAUCCGCGCUGCAUUAGCUAGUUGGUAAGGUAACGGCUUACCAAGGCAACGAUGCAUAGCCGACCUGAGAGGGGGAUCGGCCACACAGGAACUGAGACACGGUCCAGACACCGACGGGAGGCAGCAGUAGGGAAGCUUCCGCAAUGGGCGAAAGCCUGACGGAGCAACGCCGCGUGAGUGAUGAAGGGCUUCGGGUGGUAAAACGCUGUUAUUAGGGAAGAACACAUGUGUAAGUAACUGUGCACAUCUGGACGGUACCUAAUCAGAAAGCCACGGCUAACUACGU
Molecule: ribosomal RNA, 496 nt
Filed under: uncultured bacterium
Lineage: Bacteria
Description: partial 16S ribosomal RNA
Rfam family: Bacterial small subunit ribosomal RNA
Source: RNAcentral